Molecule: ribosomal RNA, 771 nt
Filed under: Klebsiella quasipneumoniae
Lineage: Bacteria; Pseudomonadati; Pseudomonadota; Gammaproteobacteria; Enterobacterales; Enterobacteriaceae
Description: bacterial SSU rRNA
Rfam family: Bacterial small subunit ribosomal RNA
Source: RNAcentral
AGAGCUUGCUCUCGGGUGACGAGCGGCGGACGGGUGAGUAUUGUCUGGGAAACUGCCUGAUGGAGGGGGAUAACUACUGGAAACGGUAGCUAAUACCGCAUAACGUCGCAAGACCAAAGUGGGGGACCUUCGGGCCUCAUGCCAUCAGAUGUGCCCAGAUGGGAUUAGCUAGUAGGUGGGGUAACGGCUCACCUAGGCGACGAUCCCUAGCUGGUCUGAGAGGAUGACCAGCCACACUGGAACUGAGACACGGUCCAGACUCCUACGGGAGGCAGCAGUGGGGAAUAUUGCACAAUGGGCGCAAGCCUGAUGCAGCCAUGCCGCGUGUAUGAAGAAGGCCUUCGGGUUGUAAAGUACUUUCAGCGGGGAGGAAGGCGAUAAGGUUAAUAACCUUGUCGAUUGACGUUACCCGCAGAAGAAGCACCGGCUAACUCCGUGCCAGCAGCCGCGGUAAUACGGAGGGUGCAAGCGUUAAUCGGAAUUACUGGGCGUAAAGCGCACGCAGGCGGUCUGUCAAGUCGGAUGUGAAAUCCCCGGGCUCAACCUGGGAACUGCAUUCGAAACUGGCAGGCUAGAGUCUUGUAGAGGGGGGUAGAAUUCCAGGUGUAGCGGUGAAAUGCGUAGAGAUCUGGAGGAAUACCGGUGGCGAAGGCGGCCCCCUGGACAAAGACUGACGCUCAGGUGCGAAAGCGUGGGGAUCAAACAGGAUUAGAUACCCUGGUAGUCCACGCCGCAAACGAUGUCGAUUUGGAGGUUGUGCCCUUGAAGUGU